AUGCUGGAGGUAUCAGAAGUGCGAAUGCUGACAUAAGUAACGAUAAAGCGGGUGAAAAGCCCGCUCGCCGGAAGACCAAGGGUUCCUGUCCAACGUUAAUCGGGGCAGGGUGAGUCGACCCCUAAGGCGAGGCCGAAAGGCGUAGUCGAUGGGAAACAGGUUAAUAUUCCUGUACUUGGUGUUACUGCGAAGGGGGGACGGAGAAGGCUAUGUUGGCCGGGCGACGGUUGUCCCGGUUUAAGCGUGUAGGCUGGUUUUCCAGGCAAAUCCGGAAAAUCAAGGCUGAGGCGUGAUGACGAGGCACUACGGUGCUGAAGCAACAAAUGCCCUGCUUCCAGGAAAAGCCUCUAAGCAUCAGGUAACAUCAAAUCGUACCCCAAACCGACACAGGUGGUCAGGUAGAGAAUACCAAGGCGCUUGAGAGAACUCGGGUGAAGGAACUAGGCAAAAUGGUGCCGUAACUUCGGGAGAAGGCACGCUGAUAUGUAGGUGAAGCGACUUGCUCGUGGAGCUGAAAUCAGUCGAAGAUACCAGCUGGCUGCAACUGUUUAUUAAAAACACAGCACUGUGCAAACACGAAAGUGGACGUAUACGGUGUGACGCCUGCCCGGUGCCGGAAGGUUAAUUGAUGGGGUUAGCGGUAACGCGAAGCUCUUGAUCGAAGCCCCGGUAAACGGCGGCCGUAACUAUAACGGUCCUAAGGUAGCGAAAUUCCUUGUCGGGUAAGUUCCGACCUGCACGAAUGGCGUAAUGAUGGCCAGGCUGUCUCCACCCGAGACUCAGUGAAAUUGAACUCGCUGUGAAGAUGCAGUGUACCCGCGGCAAGACGGAAAGACCCCGUGAACCUUUACUAUAGCUUGACACUGAACAUUGAGCCUUGAUGUGUAGGAUAGGUGGGAGGCUUUGAAGUGUGGACGCCAGUCUGCAUGGAGCCGACCUUGAAAUACCACCCUUUAAUGUUUGAUGUUCUAACGUUGGCCCCUGAUCGGGGUUGCGGACAGUGUCUGGUGGGUAGUUUGACUGGGGCGGUCUCCUCCUAAAGAGUAACGGAGGAGCACGAAGGUUGGCUAAUCCUGGUCGGACAUCAGGAGGUUAGUGCAAUGGCAUAAGCCAGCUUGACUGCGAGCGUGACGGCGCGAGCAGGUGCGAAAGCAGGUCAUAGUGAUCCGGUGGUUCUGAAUGGAAGGGCCAUCGCUCAACGGAUAAAAGGUACUCCGGGGAUAACAGGCUGAUACCGCCCAAGAGUUCAUAUCGACGGCGGUGUUUGGCACCUCGAUGUCGGCUCAUCACAUCCUGGGGCUGAAGUAGGUCCCAAGGGUAUGGCUGUUCGCCAUUUAAAGUGGUACGCGAGCUGGGUUUAGAACGUCGUGAGACAGUUCGGUCCCUAUCUGCCGUGGGCGCUGGAGAACUGAGGGGGGCUGCUCCUAGUACGAGAGGACCGGAGUGGACGCAUCACUGGUGUUCGGGUUGUCAUGCCAAUGGCACUGCCCGGUAGCUAAAUGCGGAAGAGAUAAGUGCUGAAAGCAUCUAAGCACGAAACUUGCCCCGAGAUGAGUUCUCCCUGAGACUUUAAGUCUCCUGAAGGAACGUUGAAGACGACGACGUUGAUAGGCCGGGUGUGUAAGCGCAGCGAUGCGUUGAGCUAACCGGUACUAAUGAACCGUGAGGCUUAACCUU
Molecule: ribosomal RNA, 1677 nt
Filed under: Escherichia coli
Lineage: Bacteria; Pseudomonadati; Pseudomonadota; Gammaproteobacteria; Enterobacterales; Enterobacteriaceae
Description: partial 23S ribosomal RNA
Rfam family: Bacterial large subunit ribosomal RNA
Source: RNAcentral